RNAcentral lists this ribosomal RNA (801 nucleotides) under uncultured bacterium. Its description in RNAcentral is "bacterial SSU rRNA". It matches the Rfam family "Bacterial small subunit ribosomal RNA", at positions 8 to 811 of the family's 1533-position model. The record is from RNAcentral.
AGAGUUUGAUCCUGGCUCAGGAUGAACGCUGGCGGCGUGCUUAACACAUGCAAGUCGAGCGAAGCAGUUAAGAAGAUUCUUCGGAUGAUUCUUAACUGACUGAGCGGCGGACGGGUGAGUAACGCGUGGGUGACCUGCCCCAUACCGGGGGAUAACAGCUGGAAACGGCUGCUAAUACCGCAUAAGCGCACAGAGCUGCAUGGCUCGGUGUGAAAAACUCCGGUGGUAUGGGAUGGGCCCGCGUCUGAUUAGGCAGUUGGCGGGGUGACGGCCCACCAAACCGACGAUCAGUAGCCGGCCUGAGAGGGCGACCGGCCACAUUGGGACUGAGACACGGCCCAAACUCCUACGGGAGGCAGCAGUGGGGAAUAUUGCACAAUGGGGGAAACCCUGAUGCAGCGACGCCGCGUGAGCGAAGAAGUAUUUCGGUAUGUAAAGCUCUAUCAGCAGGGAAGAUAAUGACGGUACCUGACUAAGAAGCCCCGGCUAACUACGUGCCAGCAGCCGCGGUAAUACGUAGGGGGCAAGCGUUAUCCGGAUUUACUGGGUGUAAAGGGAGCGUAGACGGCAAGGCAAGUCUGAUGUGAAAACCCAGGGCUUAACCCUGGGACUGCAUUGGAAACUGUCUGGCUCGAGUGCCGGAGAGGUAAGCGGAAUUCCUAGUGUAGCGGUGAAAUGCGUAGAUAUUAGGAAGAACACCAGUGGCGAAGGCGGCUUACUGGACGGUAACUGACGUUGAGGCUCGAAAGCGUGGGGAGCAAACAGGAUUAGAUACCCUGGUAGUCCACGCCGUAAACGAUG